GAAAUGCGAUAAGUAGUGUGAAUUGCAGAAUUUAGCGAAUCAUCGAAUCUUUGAACGCACAUUGCGCCCCUUGGUAUUCCAUGGGGCAUGCCUGUUCGAACGUCAUUUCAACCCUCAAGCACUGCUUGGUGUUGGGCGUUUGUCCCGCCUACGCGCGUGGACUCGCCUCAAAGUCAUUGGCAGCUGUUCCCCUUCGGCUCGUAAGCGCAGCACAGUCGGCGCCCGGAGCUCUGGUGGGAUGGCGUCCAGCAAGCUAUAUUUUCAGGCUUGACCUCGGAUCAGGUAGGGAUACCCGCUGAACUUAAGC
RNAcentral lists this unclassified non-coding RNA (307 nucleotides) under plant metagenome. Its description in RNAcentral is "partial contains 5.8S ribosomal RNA, internal transcribed spacer 2, and large subunit ribosomal RNA". The stretch from base 1 to 105 matches the Rfam family "5.8S ribosomal RNA", at positions 50 to 154 of the family's 154-position model. The record is from RNAcentral.